RNAcentral lists this ribosomal RNA (1026 nucleotides) under Procambarus versutus. RNAcentral describes it as "eukaryotic LSU rRNA". The stretch from base 197 to 1026 matches the Rfam family "Eukaryotic large subunit ribosomal RNA", at positions 1 to 1113 of the family's 3401-position model. The record is from RNAcentral. Lineage: Eukaryota; Metazoa; Arthropoda; Malacostraca; Decapoda; Cambaridae.
UCAGCUCGUCGGCUGUCGGCUGGGUGGGGACGUAACAAAGCGACCCAGGAAUACUUGGGCGUGCCUCCACCCACGCCGGCGUCGGCGGGCGUAUUUCGCCUCACAGUAGGUCGCCGCGACCCGUUGCUUUUGGGGACGUCGAAGGCCCGGACGGAUUGGUACCCUACCGGCUGGCUGGGGAUGCGGCUUCGGCUUCUCUCCUCUUGUCCGGUGGGCGAAACCGCCGGUGUCCUGGCUGCCCUGCGACGGUCGUAGAGACGAGCCCCUCCCAUUCGUGGGGGGCGGCUCUCGCGGCGUGCAAAAAGUCGGUGAUCCACCCGACCCGUCUUGAAACACGGACCAAGGAGUCUAACAUGUGUGCGAGUCAGUGGGCGCACUAAACCCAGAGGCGCAAUGAAAGUGACACGGGUUCGGCUGUCGCCUCGUGUGGCAGCCGGACUCAUCAGGGCCGAUCCCUCACCGGUUGGCCUCGCCUCUCUCCCGCGUCUCGGUAAGCCGGGUGAGCUAUUUUCCCCGGCCGCUGCUGCGGGGCUCGGGGGAAGGCGGGGUGCGAUGGUGUCUUCCGUAAAAAGGAAGAAGAGCCUGCUGUUGCAGGGGGGCGCAGGCCCGGGACUUGCCAGGACGCCGCGAGACUGUCGUCACUUUGCUGUGAGGCCCUAGGGCCGAUCAGCGGGUCGGUCAUGCGUGCAGUCGGCAAGUACCAUGAGCAGACAUGUUGGGACCCGAAAGAUGGUGAACUAUGCCUGGCCAGGAUGAAGCCAGAGGAAACUCUGGUGGAGGUCCGUAGCGAUUCUGACGUGCAAAUCGAUCGUCGGAGCUGGGUAUAGGGGCGAAAGACUAAUCGAACCAUCUAGUAGCUGGUUCCCUCCGAAGUUUCCCUCAGGAUAGCUGGAACUCGUGGGAUGAAUUUCAUCCGGUAAAGCGAAUGAUUAGAGGCCUUGGGGACGAAACGUCCUCAACCUAUUCUCAAACUUUAAAUGGGUGAGAUGCCGAGCUUGCUUGAACGCUGAAGCUUCGGCGACUAAU